Molecule: long non-coding RNA, 326 nt
Filed under: Cucumis sativus (cucumber)
Lineage: Eukaryota; Viridiplantae; Streptophyta; Magnoliopsida; Cucurbitales; Cucurbitaceae
Description: long non-coding RNA (CSAT_LNC000762)
Source: RNAcentral
GACCUCCAGUAAAUUAUUCUUCAUUUGACAUUGGGACAAGUCGUUUAUCGUGAAGUAACGUUCUUGAUGAAGAGUCGAAACACGUCUUCAGCUCAAGAUCAAUGAGAAACUCAGAGACAGUCCUCAGCUGGGAUCAUAUUAAGAUCAGGUAGAAAGAAACCACCACCACUUUCCAUUGAAUUUAUUUCCUGCCUGUUGUUUGAUUCUGAUUGUGAACUGUUUCCAGGUGCAGUUUGCAUCGGUAAAGUUGCAGGAACACUUUCAGUUGUAGGAUCCGCCCUUUGGCACUGUUGAUUGGAAGCUACUGGCUUCGACAUGUCCCGAAG